RNAcentral lists this transfer-messenger RNA (349 nucleotides) under Halocynthiibacter sp. C4. It matches the Rfam family "Alphaproteobacteria transfer-messenger RNA". From Rfam's summary of the family: Bacterial tmRNA, also known as 10Sa RNA or SsrA, is named for its dual tRNA and mRNA-like properties. Its role is to liberate the mRNA from a stalled ribosome. The record is from RNAcentral. Lineage: Bacteria; Pseudomonadati; Pseudomonadota; Alphaproteobacteria; Rhodobacterales; Paracoccaceae.
UCCCUUGUAAGUUCCGCGCGCCACGCCUAAAUUGAGACUGUCCUUCGGGACUAUGAACAUAAACGCGCUCGUAAUAAGCGGAUCGGACCCGGGGGCGGUACCCGGCGACUCCACCAAAUACCUUCAUUUGAGGUCCAUGGGGUCGAAAUAGGAUCGACGAACGUCUAAAGGGGUUUGCUUUGUUUCGGUGAGUUACCACCGUUAUCGGUACAUUUAAGCUAGUUGCAAAUGACAACGACGCUCCGAUGGCUCUGGCUGCUUAAGCAGUCCGAAAAGUCGAAACUUUAAGCCCUAGCGCAUUGCUGCCCUAGGCGGGGUUCGCAGGUACCUGGCAACAGAAACCUGCACU